AGAGUUUGAUUUUGGCUCAGGAUGAACGCUGGCGGCGUGCUUAACACAUGCAAGUCGAACGGAGUUUACAUGUGAGCGGAGAAAUGCUUGCAUUUUGACAAUCUUUUGUAAACUUAGUGGCGGACGGGUGAGUAACGCGUGGGUAACCUGCCGUAUGCAGGGGGACAACAGUUGGAAACGACUGCUAAUACCGCAUAAGCGCACAGUAUUGCAUGAUACAGUGUGAAAAGAUUUAUCGGCAUACGAUGGACCCGCGUCUGAUUAGCUAGUUGGUGAGGUAACGGCUCACCAAGGCGACGAUCAGUAGCCGGCCUGAGAGGGUGGACGGCCACAUUGGGACUGAGACACGGCCCAAACUCCUACGGGAGGCAGCAGUGGGGAAUAUUGGACAACGGGGGCAACCCUGAUCCAGCGACGCGGCGUGAGUGAAGAAGUAUUUCGGUAUGUAAAGCUCUAUCAGCAAGGAAGAAAAUGACGGUACUUGACUAAGAAGCCCCGGCUAACUACGUGCCAGCAGCCGCGGUAAUACGUAGGGGGCAAGCGUUAUCCGGAUUUACUGGGUGUAAAGGGAGCGUAGACGGUUUUGUAAGUCUGAAGUGAAAGCCCGGGGCUCAACCCCGGGACUGCUUUGGAAACUAUAGAACUAGAGUGCAGGAGAGGUAAGUGGAAUUCCUAGUGUAGCGGUGAAAUGCGUAGAUAUUAGGAGGAACACCAGUGGCGAAGGCGGCUUACUGGACUGUAACUGACGUUGAGGCUCGAAAGCGUGGGGAGCAAACAGGAUUAGAUACCCUGGUAGUCCACGCCGUAAACG
RNAcentral lists this ribosomal RNA (811 nucleotides) under uncultured bacterium. Its description in RNAcentral is "bacterial SSU rRNA". It matches the Rfam family "Bacterial small subunit ribosomal RNA", at positions 8 to 808 of the family's 1533-position model. The record is from RNAcentral.